Molecule: transfer RNA, 66 nt
Filed under: Capsala pricei
Lineage: Eukaryota; Metazoa; Platyhelminthes; Monogenea; Capsalidea; Capsalidae
Description: tRNA-Leu
Source: RNAcentral
UCAAGGAUGUCAGAAUUUUAUGAGUUUGCUUUAGGUGUAAAUUAUGGGGUGAAUCCUCUCCUUGAU